Molecule: ribosomal RNA, 1078 nt
Filed under: Diaporthe ampelina
Lineage: Eukaryota; Fungi; Ascomycota; Sordariomycetes; Diaporthales; Diaporthaceae
Description: partial large subunit ribosomal RNA
Rfam family: Eukaryotic large subunit ribosomal RNA
Source: RNAcentral
CUGGAACGGGACGCCACAGAGGGUGAGAGCCCCGUAUGGUCGGACACCAAGCCUGUGUGAAGCUCCUUCGACGAGUCGAGUAGUUUGGGAAUGCUGCUCUAAAUGGGAGGUAAAUCUCUUCUAAAGCUAAAUACCGGCCAGAGACCGAUAGCGCACAAGUAGAGUGAUCGAAAGAUGAAAAGCACCUUGAAAAGGGGGUUAAAUAGUACGUGAAAUUGUUGAAAGGGAAGCACUUGUGACCAGACUUGGGCCGGGCGGCUCAUCAGGGGUUCUCCCCUGUGCACUCCGCCCGGCACAGGCCAGCAUCGGUUCUCGUGGGGGGAUAAGACCGUCGGGAACGUAGCACCCUCCGGGGUGUGUUAUAGCCCGGCGGACGAUACCCCCGUGGGGACCGAGGUUCGCGCUCCGCAAGGAUGCUGGCGUAAUGGUCACCAGUGACCCGUCUUGAAACACGGACCAAGGAGUCGUCCAUUAGAGCGAGCGUUUGGGUGUAAAACCCGCACGCGUAAUGAAAGUGAACGCAGGUGAGAGCUUCGGCGCAUCAUCGACCGAUCCUGAUGUUCUCGGAAGGAUUUGAGUAAGAGUUUUAACGGACGGACCCGAAAGACAGUGAACUAUGCUUGUAUAGGGUGAAGCCAGAGGAAACUCUGGUGGAGGCUCGCAGCGGUUCUGACGUGCAAAUCGAUCGUCAAAUAUGAGCAUGGGGGCGAAAGACUAAUCGAACUGUCUAGUAGCUGGUUACCGCCGAAGUUUCCCUCAGGAUAGCAGUGUUGAUCUUCAGUUUUAUGAGGUAAAGCGAAUGAUUAGGGACUCGGGGGCGCUAUAUUGCCUUCAUCCAUUCUCAAACUUUAAAUAUGUAAGAAGCCCUUGUUACUUAGUUGAACGUGGGCAUUCGAAUGUACCAACACUAGUGGGCCAUUUUUGGUAAGCAGAACUGGCGAUGCGGGAUGAACCGAACGCGGGGUUAAGGCGCCAGAGUGUACGCUCAUCAGACACCACAAAAGGCGUUAGUACAUCUUGACAGCAGGACGGUGGCCAUGGAAGUCGGAAUCCGCUAAGGACUGUGUAACAACUCACC